AGGUCAUGCAUGUCUAGUAUAAGCAAUUAUACCGUGAAACUGCGAAUGGCUCAUUAAAUCAGUUAUCGUUUAUUUGAUAGUACCUUACUACUUGGAUAACCGUGGUAAUUCUAGAGCUAAUACAUGCUAAAAACCCCGACUUCGGGAGGGGUGUAUUUAUUAGAUAAAAAACCAAUGCCCUUCGGGGCUCCUUGGUGAAUCAUAAUAACUUAACGGAUCGCAUGGCCUUGCGCCGGCGACGGUUCAUUCAAAUUUCUGCCCUAUCAACUUUCGAUUGUAGGGUAUUGGCCUACAAUGGUAUCAACGGGUAACGGGGAAUUAGGGUUCGAUUCCGGAGAGGGAGCCUGAGAAACGGCUACCACAUCCAAGGAAGGCAGCAGGCGCGCAAAUUACCCAAUCCCGACACGGGGAGGUAGUGACAAUAAAUACUGAUACAGGGCUCUUUUGGGUCUUGUAAUUGGAAUGAGUACAAUUUAAAUCCCUUAACGAGGAACAAUUGGAGGGCAAGUCUGGUGCCAGCAGCCGCGGUAAUUCCAGCUCCAAUAGCGUAUAUUAAAGUUGUUGCAGUUAAAAAGCUCGUAGUUGAACCUUGGGUCUGGCUGGCCGGUCCGCCUCACCGCGUGCACUGGUCCGGCCGGACCUUUCCUUCUGGAGAACCGCAUGCCCUUCACUGGGUGUGUCGGGGAACCAGGACUUUUACUUUGAAAAAAUUAGAGUGUUCAAAGCAGGCCUUUGCUCGAAUACAUUAGCAUGGAAUAAUAGAAUAGGACGUGCGGUCCUAUUUUUGUUGGUUUCUAGGACCGCCGUAAUGAUUAAUAGGGAUAGUCGGGGGCAUCAGUAUUCAAUUGUCAGAGGUGAAAUUCUUAGAUUUAUUGAAGACUAACUACUGCGAAAGCAUUUGCCAAGGAUGUUUUCAUUAAUCAGUGAACGAAAGUUAGGGGAUCGAAGACGAUCAGAUACCGUCGUAGUCUUAACCGUAAACUAUGCCGACUAGGGAUCGGGCGAUGUUAUUCUUUUGACUCGCUCGGCACCUUACGAGAAAUCAAAGUUUUUGGGUUCUGGGGGGGGAGUAUGGUCGCAGGCUGAACUAGAUUUUUUCUCAUCACAGUAAG
RNAcentral lists this ribosomal RNA (1112 nucleotides) under Rhytidhysteron rufulum. RNAcentral describes it as "SSU rRNA". It matches the Rfam family "Eukaryotic small subunit ribosomal RNA", at positions 46 to 1675 of the family's 1831-position model. The record is from RNAcentral. Lineage: Eukaryota; Fungi; Ascomycota; Dothideomycetes; Hysteriales; Hysteriaceae.